Molecule: ribosomal RNA, 164 nt
Filed under: Homarus americanus (American lobster)
Lineage: Eukaryota; Metazoa; Arthropoda; Malacostraca; Decapoda; Nephropidae
Description: 5.8S ribosomal RNA
Rfam family: 5.8S ribosomal RNA
About the family: 5.8S ribosomal RNA (5.8S rRNA) is a component of the large subunit of the eukaryotic ribosome.
Source: Rfam by way of RNAcentral
AACUCUUAACGGGGGAUCACUCGGCUCGUGGGUCGAUGAAGACCGCAGCAAACUGCGUGUUGGUAUGUGAAUCGCAAGAAUACCAGAUACAUCGACAAGUUGAACGCAUAUUGCAGCGGCGGCAGCCAUAUGAGCUUGUCGCCGCCAUUCCUCUACGAGGGUCG